RNAcentral lists this ribosomal RNA (468 nucleotides) under uncultured bacterium. RNAcentral describes it as "partial 16S ribosomal RNA". It matches the Rfam family "Bacterial small subunit ribosomal RNA", at positions 28 to 507 of the family's 1533-position model. The record is from RNAcentral.
GACGAACGCUGGCGGCGUGCUUAAUACAUGCAAGUCGAACGGAAAGGCCCGGCGUUUGUUCGGUGCUCGAUUGGCGAACGGGUGUGUAAAACGUGAGUAAACUGCCCUUGACUUUCGGAGAACAUCAGGAAACUGGGGCGAAAACCGGAGAUGAGCUACUGCUGCAUAGUGGGGAUUGGAAAGUUUCGGCGGUUGGGGAUGGACUCGAGGGUUAUCAGCUGGAUUGGGUGGUAGUGGCGUACCAAGGCUUUGACGGGUAGCCUGCCUGAGAGGGUGACCGGCCACAUUGCGACUGCGAUACGGACCAGAAUGCAACGGGAGGCAGCAGUGGGGAAUAUUGCACAAUGGGCGGAAGCCUGAUGCAGAAACGCCGCGUGCGGGAUGCCGGCUUUCGGGGUGUAAACAGCUUUCGACUGUGACGAAGAGUGAGUGACGGUAAUGGGUAAAGAAGCAACGGCUAACUACGUG